RNAcentral lists this ribosomal RNA (127 nucleotides) under Filobasidiales sp. Its description in RNAcentral is "partial large subunit ribosomal RNA". The record is from RNAcentral. Lineage: Eukaryota; Fungi; Basidiomycota; Tremellomycetes; Filobasidiales.
CGGGAAGAGCUCAAAUUUGAAAUCUGGUGGCCUCAGGCUAUCCGAGUUGUAAUCUAUAGAAACAUUUUCCGCGUUGGCCCAUGUACAAGUCUCUUGGAAUAGAGCGUCAUAGAGGGUGAGAAUCCCG